This 252-nucleotide ribosomal RNA is filed under the name uncultured bacterium. Its description in RNAcentral is "partial 16S ribosomal RNA". It matches the Rfam family "Bacterial small subunit ribosomal RNA", at positions 524 to 776 of the family's 1533-position model. The record is from RNAcentral.
UACGUAGGUGGCUAGCGUUGUCCGGAUUUACUGGGCGUAAAGAGCGCGCAGGCGGUCGUUCAAGUCGAGUGUGAAAGCCCCCGGCUCAACUGGGGAGGGUCACUCGAUACUGAUCGACUCGAGGCAGGAGAGGGAAGCGGAAUUCCCGGUGUAGUGGUGAAAUGCGUAGAUAUCGGGAGGAACACCAGUGGCGAAGGCGGCUUUCUGGCCUGUUCUUGACGCUGAGGCGCGAAAGCUAGGGUAGCAAACGGG